RNAcentral lists this long non-coding RNA (1693 nucleotides) under Carica papaya (papaya). RNAcentral's name for it is "long non-coding RNA (CPAP_LNC015570)". Lineage: Eukaryota; Viridiplantae; Streptophyta; Magnoliopsida; Brassicales; Caricaceae. The record is from RNAcentral.
UCAACUGUUCAACCAGAAUCUUACCCCUCUUUCUAAGGUUACCAAUUAUAAACUUUCUGCCUCUUGCUGCCUCCCGAGCAAAUAAUGCAAUUCUAUGAGAGGCAUUCGAUUUCCAAAUUUGUUUCCAAGAGAAACCACUUAAAACAGAAGAUGGGCAGGAAGAGGAAGUAGAAAGAUUUCACACUGACGAAGCUAUUAGCCUUCAACUUCCAAAGAGGUUCGUCGUGCCCCGUACAAUCCAUAGAACAAAAGGGAUAAAUGGUGCAAAAGGAUGACAAUUCUCCUCCACCUUCCAAUCAUUCAAAUUCCUAAAAAGAUCCACCUCCCACACUGACAUGACCAGCAGUCACAGAGAAAUGUUCAUUCACCAAAGCCUCUUUUCCUCUAGCUAAAGAGGAAAUAACCGGGAAUCAAUGCUGCAAUGACCCACCAUUACCCCGUUCCUCUUUCCAAAACCUCAUCCUACUCCCAGGGUCAACCUUCAACCGAACAUACCCAUAAAAUUCUUCCUAUCCCAAGUUUAUACUUUACAAAGACAUUCCCACGAGGCUCUCUAGAUCAAUUGAUCCUCCACCCCCUCUCACGACGUACUGCAUACUGUGCAUGCAUCCCAACAAGCAGCUACUUUAGCCAGCGCAUCAGUUUUCAUAUCUCCAUUUGUUCAAAGUAGUGCUCUUAAUGGAGCUUCAAAAAUAGAAUUGAAGCUAGUGUUAUCUAGAUGUAUUUGCCUGGCACUCAAGCCUCUCAAGAGUGAUUUCAUACUAGGAGAUUACAUUGCGAAGAUAACAUUAUCUUUUUCCCACUAUAUAAAGAUGUAGAUUAAAAGUAUAGCUACCUAACAAUGGUGGCAAUCAUUAAAGUUGUUUCAGCGCUGCAAAAUUGUCAAAGGAUAAUAUUUCACAAGCCAAAUAAUCUAUUCCUUGAAAAUAUUUGUUUCGGUAAAUAAAUUAAAAUAUAAACACCUUACUCUCGACACUUCACAAGUCAAAUGACAAACUUCUAGCAAGUGUUUUGGAAAUAAAAGAAACCAAGUAAAUAACCCAUUAGGAAACAAAUAUGUAGACUGUAUAUAGAUCAUGUACUCGGUCCUUUACAGAGAGCGAAUAACUUUAAUAACCCAUUAGCUCAAUAAACCCACAGGUCAGUAAAACAGACAGACAAAGUAAGAGUAAACGUUAGUUCCUAAAAUCAAUUAGAACAGCAAAGAAACAGAAAAAUACAAAAGCAAACGAUUGAAGAAGAGUUAAAACGAAAUGGAAGUUGAAGAACGCGGAUAGUUUAUAGAAUGAAAGGGUACAGACCAUGCCGUCAUCGAUCUCUUCCGGGGCGGCAGAGCUGGACCCAAGCCUGGCUCUCUGCAUCGCUUUGUAAGCUUGGUUUUUGCCCAUGUUGGGGAAAUCCGAGAAACCUCUAGGGAAAAUUGAGAGUUGGGGGAAAGAAACUGAGGGAAAAUUUUAUGAAAGAUAUUUUGAGUAGGGAAUUAACGGUUCGAAAAGCAUGUUUGGGGAGAGAGAAUAAAGGGAUUUCUAUUGGGGAGAGAGGGAGAGAUAGAGAUGGGAAUUGGGAGGAUAAUUAGGGAUUUACGAAGGUAUUUGCAGGAAGAUCAGAGUUUGUUUAAUCAGAGAAAAUGAAGGCAUUGUUUUGGUGAAGAAAAAUUAUUACGACAUAUUAUUAUUAUUUUUUUUAAUUAUGA